AGCAGAAGGAGGGGUUACGUGGAGCCGGCGCCGCUGAGGGCGCGGGGCGGUGUGAGGGGCCAUGCUGCCGCCGCCGCGGUAAUUGAGAAUGGGUCCUCAACGAUGCUGAGUGUACAAUGGGAAGCGUCACGCUCCGCUAUUUCUGUUAUGGGUGCCUUUUCACAUCGGUGACCUGGACACUUCUGCUCUUUGUUUAUUUCAACUUCAGUGAAGAGAACCAAUCCUUCAAGAAUGUGCCCGUCAAGGGGCUAGAACCUCAGAAGCCAUUUCCAAAAAAAUUCUACCCCCGUUUCACUCGAGGGCCAGUUAACGUACCUGAAUUGCAGCAGAAAGAGAGUAAAUUUAGAAAUCCUAUUGGAAAUCAUGUCCAGGACCCAGUAAAGGGAGAGGGAGACUUCUCUCCUGAAAUGGGAAUGAUUUUUAAUGAAGAAGAUCAGGAGGUCCGAGACUUGGGCUAUCAGAAGCAUGCUUUCAAUAUGCUCAUCAGUAACCGGCUGGGGUAUCACAGGGAGGUUCCUGAUACAAGAGAUGCAAAGUGUAGAGAGAAAUCCUACCCUUCUGAUCUGCCAUUUGCCAGUGUUAUCAUCUGUUUCUACAAUGAAGCACUUUCUGCCCUGCUUCGCACAGUGCACAGUGUCCUGGAUCGCACUCCUGCACACCUUCUUCAUGAAAUUAUUUUGGUGGAUGACAACAGUGAACUGGCUGACUUGAAGAAAGACUUGGUUGAAUAUGUUAAAACUCAGCUUCCUAAAACAACAAAACUAGUAAGAAAUGAGAAGCGGGAAGGUUUGAUUCGAGGAAGGAUGAUUGGAGCCUCUCAUGCUACAGGAAAAGUGCUGGUUUUCCUGGACAGUCACUGUGAGGUAAAUGAGAUGUGGCUGCAACCUCUGCUGACUCCAAUCAAAGAAGACCGCAGGACUGUGGUGUGCCCUGUGAUUGACAUCAUCAGUGCUGACACACUUACCUACAGCUCUUCCCCAGUUGUGCGUGGAGGGUUUAACUGGGGCCUGCACUUUAAGUGGGAUCUUGUUCCUUUGUCAGAGCUUGAAGGUCCUGAGGGAGCCACUGCUCCAAUCAAAUCACCCACUAUGGCUGGAGGCCUGUUUGCCAUGGACCGUGAGUACUUUAAUGAGCUUGGACAGUAUGACAGUGGCAUGGACAUCUGGGGAGGAGAAAAUCUGGAGAUAUCUUUUCGGAUUUGGAUGUGUGGGGGUCGACUUCUGAUCAUUCCCUGCUCCAGAGUGGGACACAUUUUCCGUAAGAGACGUCCCUAUGGCUCUCCAGGGGGACAGGACACUAUGGCUCAUAAUUCAUUGAGGCUGGCACACGUGUGGAUGGAUGAAUACAAAGAGCAGUAUUUUGCUUUGAGACCUGAGCUAAGGACAAGGCACUAUGGAAAUAUAACUGAUCGUGUAGAACUGAGAAAAAGAUUGAACUGCAAGUCAUUCAAGUGGUAUUUAGAUAACAUCUAUCCUGAGAUGCAAGUAUCCGGGCCCAAUGCCAAAGCUCCACAGCCAGUUUUUAUUAAUAGAGCACAAAAGCGACCAAAAGUAAUCCAGCGUGGAAGGCUGUAUCACCUUCAAACCAACAAAUGCCUGGUUGCUCAGGGCCACCCAAGUCAGAAAGGAGGCCUGGUGGUGGUUCGGGAGUGCGACUACAAUGAUCAAAACCAGGCUACUUUUUACCAUGUGAAUAGAUAGCAGUCUCAGUAAGUUGAAGGAACAAAGUGAACUCUACGUGGGAAAACAUGUGAAGGUCUUGGAAACAACGCUGCCCUUCUUGAGACUCACUGAGCACAGUACUUUGGACUGGAAAAUGGUCUUCUGCAUGAUUUUGUAGUUAGAAAUAGCACAGGUAGAAAUAGUGGAAGGGUCUGGUAGAAACAAGAUCAGAGAUAAGAAGCCUGAAGUAACAGAAGCUGAGGAGCAGAAAUGCUGAGUGUGAAUUUUGCAAGCAGAAGGCUAACAUGGGAUUAACGUUGUGUAGUUGAAGAGUGGUUGUGUGGAGAUGCCAAGACAGCUGAAGUGAACUCUUCUGCUCAGUCUGCAGUGUGUGACCUCUUUCCAUAAACGAAACUGGGAAUGCACAAGGUAGCACACAGCGUGAAACGUGGGUGGUGAAGGAGGCCAGAAAGCAUUUAAGGGCUUCAAAAGGUCAGACAUCUCCAUCUCUGUCUUUCACAAUGAAAUGCAGAAAUAAACAAACAAAAACAAGCACCCCAAGUGUUGUGGAUUCUACCAAAAAUGUUGUCUAAGGUUAAUAGAUGGUGAUUAGGCAGAAAAGGUGCUGAAGUUCUUCAUGACAGAUGCUCCAAAGGAAAAAGUAGUUACUAAUAAACUUGUAAGAGGAGCUUCAGAGACCCCAGUGAAGAUUUUUGGAAUGAAGCAUGAAGGCCAACAGAAGAUGUAACUAGUGGGACUGGCUGUGAUCUAGAUUGGCUCUCUCAUGUGUCUAAUGCCUGCUUAUCUUCUGCCUGACCUAAAUGCUUCAAGUCAAGCUGCUUUUCAAAAAAAGAAUCUUCUCCUAGUCUGCUGAGUAGUGUUUUGUUUUUUUUUCCUAUUCUCUUGGUUUCACCCCUUCUCUGUUCAUUUGUUUCAAUUCAGUAACUUAAGCUUUCUUUAGCUUAGCAAUGUAUUAGGCUUUACAGUUGUGAAUGCUGCCCUUGAGGCUGGGGUUAGCUGGUGGGUGUCUGUGCUCAGCUGCAUGGGGUUGGGAAGUCACAAGAGCUGUUAACCUCUUGUAGCACUCCAUCAGUGUAAGCAUGUGUAAUUCUGACUCUUGAACUGUUUGUAGGAGGAUGAGCUUUAAGUGCUACAGCUCUUCUGUAGGGUUCUCCUCCCUAAAUCUCUGCAUCAUGGGUGUAAGUUUUGUUUUUCUGAUGCAUUUGCCUGGAGUGAGUGUGGAGAAGUGUGAGCUAUCUCUACUGCUGCAUUUUCAUCAGCCCAUUGAAGGACAUGAUCCCACAGUUCCUCUUCAAAUCCUCAGCCACACACUGAGAUACAAAAUAGGAUCACAUGGACAUCAGCAAUGCCUUCAGGAGGACGUUGAGUCUCCUGGAUAGCAGUAGCUUAAAGUAAUGAUUGCAGAUCCCAUGCUUUGCCUUUGCUGCUGACUUUCACAAGUUAUUUGGUGCUGUGAUGUCACUGCUAGCCACUAGAAACAUGAACUGAAGGGCUACACGUAGCUGUAAUGAUGCAGUCGCUGGGCACAGCUUGUCCUCAUGCUGAGGUGGCUGCUUGGUGCUCUUCAGCUUCAUUUUGUCAUUUAAAAAACUCUGGAAUAAUGCACUGGUGCCAAUGUAAGCAACAGAUGGCAGCUGCUUGGAGUGCUGGAAUGCCUGUGCUGGCAGCAGAGCCCACAGCCAUAAUUCUGUCACACACAGAGCUGGUUCUGUAAUAGUUGCUGGCUUGCAUUUAUUGGAGUGAAGUUUUUCAUUGCAUUCCUCUCCUCCUAAUGCAAUUUACAGAUGAAAUGAGUGUACAUCCACAGAGCUUUGCCAGCUGCCCCCUGUGCCUUUUGCUACCAGCAUUGCACUCUGAGAGCCAAAGUCCUUCACUUACUAUUGGUUUGAUUUUUUUUUUUUCCCAGGUUGAGUGCUGGGUUUUGUUUCAGUACAGCCAUCUGUAUUGACCUGGACUCAAAGUCUGAUGUGGGUUUACAAUGAAGAUCACGAGCUGAUUUUGAAUAACCUCCUGUGCUUGGAUGUGUCAGAAACUCGCUCGUCUGACCCUCCUCGCCUCAUGAAGUGCCACGGCUCUGGUGGAUCUCAGCAGUGGACCUUUGGG
Lagopus leucura (white-tailed ptarmigan) is the source of this 3785-nucleotide RNA transcript. It is a transcript of the gene named polypeptide N-acetylgalactosaminyltransferase 11, with no coding region annotated. NCBI's taxonomy places the organism in Eukaryota, Metazoa, Chordata, Aves, Galliformes, Phasianidae. The record is from RefSeq and is a predicted model, not a curated record. The transcript has 12 exons.